This 5942-nucleotide long non-coding RNA is filed under the name Chlamydomonas reinhardtii. RNAcentral's name for it is "long non-coding RNA (CREI_LNC000858)". The record is from RNAcentral. Lineage: Eukaryota; Viridiplantae; Chlorophyta; Chlorophyceae; Chlamydomonadales; Chlamydomonadaceae.
AUCGGCAGGGACCACCUAAACGACCCAGCUGUGCUGGACACACAGGAUGCCCACACACGCCGUGCCGCGGCCCAGCCUCCAGAUGGUGCCCCAGCCAGGUUGAAGCCGCCAGGAGCAACGCCAGCGCGUCACAUGCCAGGCCCAUGCGCGUGGCAAAGAGUCACGAGGUCUUCUCUUUGGCCCCCGUGACACUGCGGUACCACUCUGCCAGUAGCUGCUUGCCGUCAAUAACAUGGUCCUUGCGCGCCACGUCUGUGGUUGACGGUGAAGGAAGUGAACGUCAAUUACGCCAAAACGUGAAGCAGCGGGCGGUGCACGCGCUGAAGAAGGGCCGCAGCAGGAGAGAGUGGGGGGCCAGUUGAGGCAGGACGUUGCAGGCUGUGUUGCCCUUGAGGCUUUCCCAUUUCGUGCCGUACGCGAAAAGGGGCUGCUGUCACCCUCGCAUGCCGCCCACAAUACCUUACCGGCAGCUGCCGAGCUCCCUGGGCCGGUGCCAGCCGUCGCGCCGCCUGCACUUCAGUGAUCGGGUGGCCAGGGGGCACGAAACACGCGGGCGCGAGCGAGCUCAGCGACCCCAACGAGCAUCAGAGCACGCAGAAAUGUAUAGCAAAGUGGAUGCGUCACGGCACAAUUGGCAGCCACUUUGAAGCCUAGCUCAGCUCGGUGCCUCAACAAACAGCAACCCCGCGAAUCGGCCGACCGGUCGGAGCCGUCGGACAUACGCACACCUUGCCUCAAGACUCAAAAUGUGGUCUAAGAGCGCACCUUUCAGCGCCAAAAUGUAGUCAACGAGGCCAACCGGCAACCCGGUGGACGUGAGGCCCUCCCGAGAUGCACUCUUCAGCGUGUGUGUGCUGCUAUAGCGGGCUCCCAACAUUAUGUCCAGAUGCGGGUCUUUGAACAGCGUCACUUCAGCCCCAAAGGUUCUAAGGACUGUGCGCAGCUCCUCCCGUGCCUGUUCCGGGUCCAUGUCAGGGCACAAGGCUCGUCGACAACUUGCAAAAAAACGCGCGUGGGGCGAGUUAUAAAUGCGCUAAGCUAUGUGUAUCUGUUUACCAACAGCAAACUUGGUUGUGGGCUUGUGGCGUCCAUGGCACCGCUCUCGCGACUCGGAGCCCCUGCCCACGUCUGCGGCUCGGAGCCCGGCCCAUGCGGAGCCCAGCCCCAGCCUGAACCGCGCGCAUUUUAGCACGUAGCGUUGGUUACAUCCGUAAACCCCCAGUCGGAAUCGUUCGGAGCUGCUGUACCCUUACACAACGUUUGGCCACCCGCCAUCAUGCCCGCCCAGGGCCCACCCCGCCUCUGUAAAAUCAGUAACUUCAGAGCCCCGGAACUUCAUGCAACCCCCCACCCCAUACUCGUUCGAGUGCCAGCGUUGAGUGCCGGCAGCAGCAGCAUGCCGGCACGCGUCCGGGUUGGACAGCUUCCCCCCGGGCCCGGGGCUUUUUAAGCGCAUUUACGCAUCCCAACCCGCAACACCGUUGGACUCCAGACCAUACACCUAGAAUGUGUGUGGUCGUGAUCAGAGUGUGGUCGUAAUUCUCGUGACAAGCCACCAAUUUGCCUGGAGAUGCGUUCAAUCAUCAGUCCCGGCCAUUGCAACAGUUCUAGUCGUCAAAUGCAAUCGUACGGCAUGUUCCUUCGCUGCCCACUUGGCUGCCGGGCACAGCCAUUCAUCAUCACUGCGGGCUACCCAGCCGUGUAGGAGCGCGGCGGUCAUCGGCAGGGACCACCUGAGCUGGCCCAGCUGUGCUGGACUAACAGUUACAGGGGCCCAUCCACACACGCCGUGCCGCCGCGGCCCAGAGAGUGGUUACAAAGGAGGAGGGGACAAGGCACAGCCACACGCACGGGCACACAACCUGCAACGUGAGCAACCUGCAACAGUCUGCAACCUGCAACGUGAGCAAGCAGAACGCCACCCCUUGCCUCCUUGUCUGCGUUUGCUUGCGUCCCUUGCCGCCCCUUCGGAGGAUUCGUUUGCGUUUGCUGCUUGUGGCUUCCUGGUGUCGCACGGCAUGCACCGCACGCGCCGCAGCAGGGGUUCGGGGUGUCCAACUCGGCGGUUAGCUGUCGGUUGCCACCGAAAUUUCUACCCGACCCCCCCUGGAAGUGGGCUUUCCGCGGCGACCAAGCCUGAGACCUAUAGCUAUGAUACAAUAUAACGUAUCUGACUCAUUAACAGGCGCCAAGGCCCAAACUCUCGAACUCGCACUUUCAUAAGCGGCCAUGCCGCCCAAGGCCGCACGCCCUAGCCCCCGCGCACGCCUCAUGACCCCCCAAUAUGAUAACAAUAAGUUUGGGGUCAAGCGCGCUGGCUGAAAUCCACGCGCAGCCCAGUGGAGCGCGAAAUGUGUGUUACUACAAGCGCGCGCAGGAAGAACUCCUCGGUUUGGGCUCCUUUUGGCAGCAAACUUCCGCAAACGACGUUAUGUUAGCAUAAUGCUGGUUCCUAUGGGCCCUUAAUUACAAUAUCGUGGUUCUUGGGGAAACGUCAACAUCAAAUGAGGCCUUUAGAAGCGUCCUGAAAUUCCCUAAAGAGCAUAUCGCCAUUUGAGCCCACAUAUCAGGCAUAGAAUGAUUCGACUGCUCAAGAAGGUGCAUACACCCUGCUCGCCGAAACGCCCAUCGCGCGCGCAGCAAGUUCAUCCACACCGAGGGUUUUAAGUGUUCGCCAAAGCGCCAGACCCAGUAUACAUAUGUAAUGUAAGGCUCCUAUGGGCUACAUUUUACGCGGAAGAGGCUGUUCACGACAAUCAUAUUUCCACUGCCUCAGCGAGUCUAUACGCGAGCAAACCAACGCUAAAGAAUCCUUUGCCAACGAUGUUAUGCAGCGAUAUUGUGCGUCACUUCUACCAUUUCUAGCUGAGCCAACCGCACGAAUGAUCACACACGUUGCUGAAGCUUUCUAUCGUCGAUAGUUUGCGAUGGGCCUCUGAUGCUACACAAGGACAUACGAAUGUGAUAAAAUGGCAUUGCAAUGUCUCGGGGUGACAUUUCAAGCUGGGCGAGCGCAGCCAAGCCAAGGAAUGGACAAGGAAUUGAGAAUGCGCGACAAUGUGACCACGGCGUUAGGGCUACCGCACUGUUUUAUAUGGGUUUAUGGCAUCGUGGGUAUCGCUAGGGGCUCAGCCGGCCCACUUCCAGGGGGGGUCGGGACCAAAUGUCGGUGGCAACCGACAGCUAACCGCCGAGUUGGACACCCCGAACCCCUGCGCCGCAGUGCGACCGGGAUGAGCCAUGCAGCGAUCGCGCCAGGGGGGGUAGAAAGCUCAGAUUCUUACCCCAUGCUCAAAAUUACGGAGCUUUAGGAGAGCAUUACGCACGUACUUUUAGUUUUUUAAGGGGGUGUCUGGUGAGGAAGUUCUGGGCCGCCAAAGUUGGGGGGUCGGUCCUCGUCCCUGGGGGUCCGUCGGGUUUCGGGAGCCCAUCCUAGCGGAUUUCGGGAAGCGCCCCACAAGCAGAACUAGGGGUCAAACGCUGCAGUACGAGGCUCAUAUGUGCACGUUAUGACGUAAUAAGCACAAACAAAGCGUUGGGAGGGCGAAGUUGCGCGUCCGGGCGUGGACAUGUCGGGACAUGUCUCCACAUUCAACACAUGCGCACUGACACAGCUGGGCUCUGAAGCGCUGGUGCGCACGAGUUCACGUCUAACAAGGCUGCCGAUGCACAUUGUCUAUUCGUCACGCGGCAGAGAGUUGAGCGCGGGGUGGGUCGAGGGGAUUUCCAUGGAUAGGAUCCCGCCGGUGACCGAAGUCUCAGAACAGGACCGCUGAUGACACGGAGUGAUAGUGCUCGUCAAGAGGAGUCGAUUGACACCACUUUGGUGUUAAAUGGAGGGGUUUUAACCCCUGAACAACAAGGUUUCGUCCGUCAGGGGGUCGGUCGUCCCCUCAAGGGGGGUCCCGGGGGAUUUCGGGGCAUGGGGUCUGGCACUUUGUUUCCUACCCCCCCCCUGAUCGCGCUGUCGUUACUUCCUCGGCCGCCCGGCGCACUUGCUCAUUUAACCGCAUCCAUCACUUCCCCGUACUUAGUGUUCUUCGUUUAGUCACCCCGCGCAGCGCACAGCCACAGCCCGGCGUGCGCACCAUGUCCUCGCGGUUGCUUUGGGGUUGACGUUGCUUGCCUCGCGCCUAGCGCCAUAGCUUCUACGCUGCGGUGCAUCACGCCUCCUGUCCCUCCCUCCCUCCCAUACAACAUGUGCUGGGCACCGGUGGCGCUGGUGUUCUCCAGGUUGGUUUCGGGCGCAUCCUUUCUGGUAGUCCCAACGCCAGCCCGGCCGGCGUCGUCCAGCCCAGCCAUCCCAAUACAGCAGCCACCUUCCGUCAGCCAGCCAUGGGCGCGACCGUCCACAGCGUUUACCGUCGGUUACGAGGUAACAUGUGAAUUCGCAACUUGCGCUACUGACUGCCUACUCUCGUGCCGCCUGCAAGCCCACUCCGCCUUCCGCUCUGGUCUACGUACGCAUUAGUUCCGCAACACUAGUCAAUUCUAGUCGUCAAAUGCAAUCGUACGGCAUGUUCCUUCGCUGCCCACUUGGCUGCCGGGCACAGCCAUACAUGCAAAUGGCCUGGGCACAGCCAUUGAUCAUCACUGCGGGCUACCCAGCCGUGCAGGAGCGCGGCGGUCAUCGGCAGGGACCACCUGAGCUGGCCCAGCUGCGCUGGACUAACAGUUACAGGGGCCCAUCCACACACGCCGUGCCGCCGCGGCCCAGAGAGUGGUUACAAAGGAGGAGGGGACAAGGCACAGCCACACGCACGGGCACACAACCUGCAACGCGAGCAAGCAGAACGCCAGAGACAUCCGCACCAGCAGCCACCGAAACGCAUCCAUGGACAAAGCAAGGGCAGACCGGGGCCCCAAACACAGGCACACGAACAAACGCAGGCACACAUCAGCCCGCUCGCUCUAGAAGACCAACUUGCGUAGGAUCGUGUAGAGAGACGGCGGUAAGCCGCCCUACCUCACGCGCCAUGAUUCUCUCUGGCAUUCCAGGCUCCAAUCCUCCAUGCAAUCAAUACACUGUGUCAAGGGCAACCACCAGGCACUUACCCCUCGUUUGCCCGCCGAUCUCCCGCAUGUGACAUGUCACACGAUACGCACGGUCACUAGGUCAUGACACCACGCCAACACGAACACGGUAAGGGCCCCACACGACAAUCGAAGACCCGACACAUCCUACGUACGCCCUGAAUGCUCGACACUCUGUUGUGUGUGGCUACAAGGUGGUGGUUACAAGGUAGUGGUGACCACACACAACAGAGUGUCGAGCAUUCAGGGCGUACGUAGGCUGUGUCGGGUCUUCGAAUGUCGUGUGGGGCCCUUACAUUGUUUCCUGCCCGAGCAAAGUUUUGGAGGCGGGAGGACACUCGAAACCCGGCUGGGGCCGUUACAGCCCGUUCCCUGCGGGCUACGGUAUCCAGCCGUGCAGGAGCGCGGCGACCAUCGGCAGGGACCACCUAAACGACCCAGCUGUGCUGGACACACAGGAUGCCCACACACGCCGUGCCGCGGCCCAGCCUCCAGGUGGUGCCCCAGCCAGGUUGAAGCCGCCAGGAGCAACGCCAGCGCGUCACAUGCCAGGCCCAUGCGCGUGGCAAAGAGUCACGAGGUCUUCUCUUUGGCCUUCGUGACACUGCGGUACCACUCUGCCAGUAGCUGCUUGCCGUCAAUAACAUGGUCCUUGCGCGCCACGUCUGUGGUUGACGGUGAAGGAAGUGAGCGUCAAUUACGCCAAAACGUGAAGCAGCGGGCGGUGCACGCGCUGAAGAAGGGCCGCAGCAGGAGAGAGUGGGGGGCCAGUUGAGGCAGGACGUUGCAGGCUGUGUUGCCCUUGAGGCUUUCCCAUUUCGUGCCGUACGCGAAAAGGGGCUGCUGUCACCCUCGCAUGCCGCCCACAAUACCUUACCGGCAGCUGCCGAGCUCCCUGGGCCGGUGCC